CAGUAGCCGCGGUAACACGUAGUGUGCAAGCGUUAAUCGGAAUUACUGGGCGUAAAGCGUGCGCAGGCGGUUAUAUAAGACAGAUGUGAAAUCCCCGGGCUCAACCUGGGAACUGCAUUUGUGACUGUAUAGCUAGAGUACGGCAGAGGGGGAUGGAAUUCCGCGUGUAGCAGUGAAAUGCGUAGAUAUGCGGAGGAACACCGAUGGCGAAGGCAAUCCCCUGGGCCUGUACUGACGCUCAUGCACGAAAGCGUGGGGAGCAAACAGGAUUAGAGACCCGAGUAGUCCCUGUCUCUUAUAC
Molecule: ribosomal RNA, 301 nt
Filed under: uncultured bacterium
Lineage: Bacteria
Description: partial 16S ribosomal RNA
Rfam family: Bacterial small subunit ribosomal RNA
Source: RNAcentral